This 496-nucleotide ribosomal RNA is filed under the name uncultured bacterium. RNAcentral describes it as "partial 16S ribosomal RNA". It matches the Rfam family "Bacterial small subunit ribosomal RNA", at positions 29 to 507 of the family's 1533-position model. The record is from RNAcentral.
AACGAACGCUGGCGGCGCGUCUUAAGCAUGCAAGUCGAACGGCAAGAGAGGAGCUUGCUUCUCUCCUAGAGUGGCGGACUGGUGAGGAACACGUGGGUAAUCUACCCUUAAGAUGGGGAUAGCUGCUAGAAAUAGCAGGUAAUACCGAAUACACUCGGCAUAUCACAAGAGGUGUUGAGGAAAGGAAGCUACGGCUUCGCUUGAGGAUGAGCUUGCGUCCCAUUAGCUAGUUGGUGAGGUAAAGGCCCACCAAGGCGACGAUGGGUAUCCGGCCUGAGAGGGUGAACGGACACAUUGGGGCUGAGAUACGGCCCAAACUCCUACGGGAGGCAGCAGCUAAGAAUAUUCCGCAAUGGACGGAAGUCUGACGGAGCGACGCCGCGUGGAUGAAGAAGGCUGAAAAGUUGUAAAAUCCUUUUGUUGAUGAAGAAUAAGGGUGAGAGGGAAUGCUCAUCUGAUGACGGUAAUCGACGAAUAAGCCCCGGCUAAUUACGUG